This 274-nucleotide long non-coding RNA is filed under the name Mus pahari (shrew mouse). RNAcentral describes it as "lncRNA (MGP_PahariEiJ_G0004643.1)". Lineage: Eukaryota; Metazoa; Chordata; Mammalia; Rodentia; Muridae. The record is from RNAcentral.
ACUUCGGAUCCUGCUCUUCUCAGCUCUGCAGCAUCAGGCUCCCCGAAAGACCUUUCCCGGCUCCCGCAAAGCACGGUGCUUCCUGACCCCCCAGAUAACGUGGGGAAACACCACACCUGCUCUCGCAUUCCCAUCCUUGAGGUUAUGGGGUGGGGCAGGAUGAGUGGGGGGUCUUGGUCCUGCACUGCAGGCAGACUGGGGAUUCCAGAAGGGAGACCAGAUGGAUGGGUAAGGAUCAUAGGGCCCUCCACACUAAUAAAGAAUGGACUGGUUU